RNAcentral lists this microRNA precursor (80 nucleotides) under Petromyzon marinus (sea lamprey). Its description in RNAcentral is "mir-203 microRNA precursor family". It matches the Rfam family "mir-203 microRNA precursor family". The record is from Rfam by way of RNAcentral. Lineage: Eukaryota; Metazoa; Chordata; Hyperoartia; Petromyzontiformes; Petromyzontidae.
GCUUCCCGGGCCCAGUGGUUCUCAUCAGUUCAACAGUUCUUUGGAGAAAUUGUGAAAUGUUUAGGACCACUGGGACCGGA